CGCGUAGGCGGAUAGUUAAGUCCGGUGUGAAAGAUCAGGGCUCAACCUGGGAACUGCGUUUUGAACUGGGUAACUAGAGUGUGUCAGAGGGGGGUAGAAUUCCACGUGUAGCAGUGAAAUGCGUAGAGAUGUGGAGGAAUACCGAUGGCGAAGGCAGCCCCCUGGGAUAACACUGACGUUCAUGCUCGAAAGCGUGGGUAGCAAACA
RNAcentral lists this ribosomal RNA (207 nucleotides) under uncultured bacterium. RNAcentral describes it as "partial 16S ribosomal RNA". It matches the Rfam family "Bacterial small subunit ribosomal RNA", at positions 568 to 774 of the family's 1533-position model. The record is from RNAcentral.